RNAcentral lists this long non-coding RNA (21684 nucleotides) under Citrus x clementina. RNAcentral describes it as "Citrus clementina (C. clementina) long non-coding RNA (CCLE_LNC001947)". Lineage: Eukaryota; Viridiplantae; Streptophyta; Magnoliopsida; Sapindales; Rutaceae. The record is from RNAcentral.
AUGGAGGAUUUCUCAACUAUAAUGACCACCAAUUUCGAGUCUGCUUACCAUCUGUCCCAACUUGCAUACCCCCUACUCAAAGCAUCAGGAAAUGGAAACAUCAUUUUUAUCUCCUCUGUCACGGGUGUUAUAGCUGUACCUCUAUGUUCCAUCUAUGCAUCGACUAAAGGUCCAGUUCAAUAUUUUCUUUCAAACUUUUUUUUUUUUCAUUUCUGUUGGAAAGCAACAGAACUAAAAUCUGGUUGCAAGAAAGUCUUUUAAAAGCUCAGUAACUUUUUGACUUCAGGAGCAAUGAAUCAACUGACAAAGAACUUGGCAUGUGAGUGGGGAAAGGACAACAUUCGCGUGAAUGCAGUUGCUCCAUGGAUCAUUAGAACCUCUCUCAUUGAUUCCAUAGAAGUACAACUUAUCCCUCCACACUUUUCUGUGAAUUGCUACAUUUAGUCUUCUUCAUUCCAUGUCAAAGACCUGCCUUGAAUGUUCUUACUGGAGAUAGUCAUAAGCCUUUAGCGUACAAUUAGUAUAAGAGAGCAGGUCACAAAAAUUCCUCAUCUUUAGUUCAGACAAUAAUUAUAUUGAAAGAUAAUUGCAGGAUUGAAAAUCCAAAAUAACCCAUUAUGUCAAAAUGGGUUGUGCAACAUUUUUUUCAUCUACGUCAGUGUAUUCACUUGCUUACAACUUCUGAGAAUGUAUGUAAAUCUAUUUGCAAUUGGAAGAAAUGGUGCUAAUAUUAAGUGUUAACUUUCUUUUCUUUCAGAAAGAUCCAAGGGUCCUCGAGCAUGCUAGUCGUUUGAUAGCCCGUACUCCUAUACCCCGUCCAGGAGAACCUAAUGAGGUUUCAUCAGUGGUAGCAUUCCUGUGCUUGCCAGCCGCAUCAUACAUAACCGGACAGGUUAUUUGUAUUGAUGGAGGAUACUCCGUGACCGGAUUUUAGCCCUACGGACAUGAAAUGAUCUUCUAAAUUUUCUGGCCGUUCUUCCAAAGUCAGUUCAGGGCUUCAUGAUAUGGAUGCCAUUCUAAUAAGCUCUCUGUUAACGCGAAAGUUUCUGGAUUGUAUUUUAGUUGUCUAUGCUGUCACCAUUGUCCUGCUUAUUUUGUAUCUUUUCAUCUAUGUUAAAUAAUAAAUUUCCAACUUAAAAGACCCCUUUGAGUCCCAUAGUUCAAAAAAUGAACUCUAGAAAUCAACUUCAUAAGUGCCUAUUAGCUACUCAAUGUGGAAUAAACACUAACUAAUAGAAAAUAUGAUGUCUGGCGUUCAGAUAAAAUUUUUUUCUUUUUCCUUUUGCAAAAGAGAUAAUAAUUUAUCUGGUUAUUUUGGCCAGAUAUCCAUCCAUCCCAGAGAACUUGAUAAGUAGUCGUGUACCACAAUUUAGAGCAAAUAAAUAAUGUACAGUGGAGGUAAGAUAUCUUUGAUUAUAAUUCAUUGGACAAUUUCAAAAUGUAAUUAGGACAUCAUAUUAAGUAGUUGAAAUUAAUACCUUUAAAAAUUUCUUCCCACGUACACUUAUAAUUUUCUUUUAAGUACGGAAAGUAAACAUUCUUUUUUAUUUCCAUUCUCCUUUUGUUUCCUACAAUUGCUCCGUUACAAAAUGGAAAUCACCAUAUAAGAUAUUCCAUGCAAUUAAAGCGUAACUAAUUUUGGCUUUGCUUCUUAUCAUCAACCAUUUAUGGUAAUAAACACUUACGUACUGAAUCCUUCCACGACUGGCACAACAGACAACCAAACAAUACCUGACAUGAUCUUUGGUUGACAUGUUGACGCCUUGCCGACACUUUUCUGAAUAAAGUUGUAACGCAUUUUGAAAGGUGGCUGUGUUUGUGUGGGUUGCAUUCUACUUUUUAACUCAUAUCUGAGGCUGUUGUCUCAGAAAUUUGAAAAUUGGCAAAGGUGAAGAUGGGAGAAGCAGAGAUCAAUAACGAAGGAAAUAGAUGGUCUCUCAAUGGAAUGACUGCCUUAGCGACUGGUGGAACUCGAGGCAUAGGGUUGGUAACCUCCAAAUUUUCUCAAGUUCUCAUCUCCUUUUAUCUAAUUCCAUCUUUUCGCAGAAUAAGUUUACACUGGUUGUUGAUCUACUUGUCUAAAUCCUAGUUUUUGUGUUUGGGUGUUAGGCAAGCAAUAGUAGAAGAACCGGCGGGACUUGGUGUUACACCCCAAAUUCACUCAUGAAAACAUAAGAGAAAUUUGUAAUAAAUCUCACAUCAUCAUACUUAUCACUACACAUUCUUUAAAUAAUAAGCAUAACAAUUAGCCCUCUAAAAAAAAUCUUUAAAUAAAAAAUGAACUAGAGUAAUCCCCAAGGUUCUAAACAAAACUUCUAUCUUCUAAGACCAAAAGCUACAUCCCUAAUCAGUUUGCAAAAUAUUAAAGAUGAGGGGUGAACUGUUAACUCGGUAAGUAAUAUAUUCACAAUAUUAAAAACUAUUAAUCAUAAACAAUUAAACAUUAUAAUAAUCAUUUUAUCAUUUGGCAUAACUGACAGAUUCAUUAUAAGCAUUUAAAUAAUCAAAUCUUUCUAAAAACAUGUAAACAUAAAACAUAGUUUUGAUUUAAGUGAAUAUUUUAUAUUAAAUAUUUCCAAAAGGUGAUUUUACAUUCCAAUUACAUAAUCCUUACAUCCUAAACAUCUUUUAUUACAUAGUAUGUAAUAUGCCAAUUCUCUUAAGGGUAUUUAAGUUUUUAAAAAAAUUUAGUGAUCUUUUUACCCUAGUAUAAAAAGAAUAAGAUGUCUUUCCCAUUAUGAGAGAGAGAGAGAGAAAGAGAGAUCGGCUAAGAUGAAAAAAAACCGACAGAGAGGAAAAAAAAAGAGAUAGAGAGAAAAGAGAGAAAAAAAAAAGAAGAAAAAAAGGGAAGAAGAAAAAUAAAGUCUUCUUCUUGGUUCUACCAUGAGCAACACAUGAGAUCAAGUUGCGUCGUUUGAAUUGGAUAUUGUUGAGACAAGAUUGGAGGUAAGUUUUAAUUCUUGGUUUUCAUUAAUUUGUUAUGGAGAAGAAUGAUUAUAUGUUUGCAACAGAAGUAGAAACCUAAGAUUUUUCCGAAAAUAUGCUGACAGUGUGUUAUUUCAAAAAUCAUAGUAAUUUGUAAAAAUUGAUUUUGAUUCUUGAUUUUGGACAUGUUAAACUAGACAUCUUCUAGAAUGUUUUGAAAGUUUUUCCAAGCUAAUCGGAUAAGAUUUCAAUUAAUUACGAUUUUUUUGAAGUCAAGUCUGAAAACCUGAAAAUUUCUGAUUUUAGUGAAGAACCUUGAUUAUAAAAUUAUUUUUACCAUACCUAGACUUAUGAUUUUAUGGUAAAACAAUAAUUUGUUUUGUAUUUGUAAAGUAAGCAUGUCCAGAACAAAAAACUAUUUAACAGAAUCAAUUAUGUCUGAAAUGUAAAUUAUUUUCAAUAGUUUUUAAGGGAAUUAAGCUAUGAAAUUUUUACCGAUGAAUUCCCAAUAUGUUAGCAUAUUGUUGCGGACUGCCAAAGUCACUAGUCCAAUUGCCCACAAUUUCGGGCUAGGGAGCCCAAGACAAGGCCAAGAAUGCUAGCUUGGCCCGAUUCCGGAAACUUCUAGGCAACUCUAGCACAUUUGAGGUUGUAAAUAAUCUAGAAUACUCCACACAUUUCUAGCUCAUGUAAAUAUCUAGAAUUCUAGGCAUGUGGUAGAAUUCUCUAGAUCUCUAAAGCUUGGCAAGCCUCCCCUAUAAAUAGGGUAUGGCAUUUAGUAUUUGAGCAACAAGCUUAGAGCAAGCAACUCAAACACUUGUAAGCUCUCUUGCAAUCUUUCAUUCGAGUAAUACAAUUCUCUUCAUUCGGCUCCAUUGCUCUCUUCUCUCUAGCUCUUUGAAAACCGCUAGGCUUAGCUAGGCCAAAGCUCAAGGCUUACUUAGCAACAUUCGGCAAAGGUUGUCUAAGUGCCGCGCGGGUUUGCUGCGCAAAACACUCAUCCCGUGAUAAGUGGUAUUAGAGCUAAGGUUUGCACCCAUGCAAGUUAGCCCACGAGCAAUGGCCAACCCUCCAAAUCCAGUGCAAGAGGGCGUUGUUGGUGUGGAUGUUCCGCCGGAACCAAGCCACGGCCGUGAGGGAGAGCACGCCCAAGGCAAGACUCGCGGCAAGUCCAAGGCCCCAUCCGUCGAUGCGUUGGAGCCUCAUGUAACCACUCUCGAAAUCGUACUGUCUCAAGAUAGCCUCGAGGGAUUGGAGGAAAUAGUCGACGGUUUCGAGGGAGAAUACGUCGAGUUCACGGUGGCAACAAAAGCCCUCAUCCAAGAGCAACCGAAUACUUUUCGAGGUGAGUUUCAAUCUUUCCAUGAUGAGUUGCUAAAACUUCAUAGCUUUGUUCAGGAUGAACUACUCGCUGUCCGUGCGAAAGUGGACAAAGUCCGCUCGGAUUGGGCAUGGCACAAGCGCACACUCUUCGCUAGUCCAGUUUCCACAAGCACGAGUGAUGCGCGACGCAUUGACGUACCAAAGCCCGACACCUACGAUGGCACACGCAACACCACAAUCGUGGACAACUUCCUAUUUGGGCUUGAUCAAUACUUCGAUGCCAUGGGUGUUUGAGACGAGGCAUCGAAAGUGGGCACAUCACCCACCUAUCUUUGAGGUGCUGUACAACUAUGGUGGCGUCGCAAGCAUGGCGAGAUGGGCAAAGGCAUUUGUACCAUCGACACUUGGGCUAACUUCAAGCAAGAACUCUGAAAACAGUUCACCCCAAGCAACGCGGAGAAGGAAGCGCGAGUGCGCCUACGUCGCCUUAAGCAAUCAGGUAGUAUUCGGGACUACAUCAACGAAUUCAUCACUCUCAUGUUGGAGAUAAGCUACAUGUUCGAUAAGGACUCACUCUUCUACUUCCAAGAUGGCCUUAAGGAUUAGGCCAAGACCGAGCUUAAUAGGCGGGGUGUUCAAACACUUGACGAUGCCAUCGCCAUUGCGGAGUCACUCACCGAAUACUCUACCCAAUCCAAAGAAAAAAGGCCAACUAAGGUAAAUGUGGGGGAGAGAGUCGCAAGGACAAGGGCAAUAACCGCAAAGAUUAGGGGUAGAAAAAGCCACUUAGGAACAAGAGCGGGCAAGGAAAAUCGGAAGGCAAAAGGAGGCACCGAAGCCACGAAGCCCAUUGCACUGAAGCAACGGGCCUCAUUGGGUACGCGAUUGUCCGGAGAGGAAGUCACUCAACGCUCUUGCUACCCAACUCAAGAGCAACCCCAUAAUGUCCACGGAGGAACCCCAGCUCAGCAUAAGUUCUCUCCAACACCUCGGUGCACUCAAUCGCCAACAGCCCAUACUCACCAAGAAAGGGAUCAUGUAUGUGGGCGCGAAGAUAAAUGGACAGUCUGUUCGCGCGCUACUAGACACGGGAGCGACACACAACUUCGUGUUUGUAGAUGAGGCAAAGCGCUUAGGCCUAAAGGCCACCAAGGAAGGAGGCACGAUAAAGGCAGUAAACUCACAUGCCAAGCCAAUUGCGGGAACUGCAUAAGGCGUACAAAUAACACUCGGUACGUGGAGCAGAAAGCUUGACUUCUCCAUCGUGCCCAUGGACGACUUCAAGAUGGUCCUCGGCAUGAAAUUCUUCAAUCAAGUCCAUACCUUCCCACUACCCGCUACCAACUCCCUAAGCAUCCUCGAUGAGAGCAAAGCAUGCAUGGUUCCCACAGAACGAGGCAAGUCUGAGGAGAAGACGCUCUUGGCCAUGCAAUUCACAAGAGCUUUCAAGAAGGACCCAAGUUUCUUGGUCUCCAUUCGAGAACUUAACAAGGAAGGAGAUUGCAAAAAAUCACCAAGCCAAGUCCCUCCGCGAAUACAAGCUGUCCUUAAUGAGUUCAAGGACGUGACACCCCCGAACUUCCGAAGAAGCUCCCACCUCGACGAGAGGUAGAUCCUGCGAUCAAGCUGGAACAAGGCGCGAAACCAACAGCUUUGGCGCCCUACCGCAUGGCGCCACCCGAACUUGAAGAGUUACGGAGACAACUCAAAGACUUGCUGGAUGCAAGCUAUAUUCGCCCCUCAAAGGCCUCAUUCGGUGCACCGGUCCUCUUGCAAAAGAAAAAUGAUGGAUCGCUGUAGAUGUGCAUCGAUUAUAGAGCGCUCAACAAGAUCACCCUCAAGAACAAGUAUCUGAUUCCCCUAAUCGCGGAUUUGUUAGACCAGCUUGGCAAAGCGCGGUACUUCACUAAACUCGACUUGUGCUCUAGAUACUAUCAAGUGCGCAUCGCCAAGGGGAGACGAACCGAAGACAACGUGCAUGACAAGGUACUGGUCUUUCGAAUUCCUUGUCAUGUCAUUUGGCCUCACUAAUGCACCCGCCACAUUUUGCACACUCAUGAACAAUGUUCCAACCAUUCCUCGACUGCUUUGUGGUUGUGUACUUGAACGACAUCGUGGUGUAUAGCACAAUGCUUGAGGAACAUGCCCAACAUUUCCAACAAGUCCUCCAAGUACUUCGAGACAACGAGCUCUUCCUCAAAAUGGAGAAGUGCUCGUUCGCUCAACAAGAAGUGGAGUUCCUUAGCCACAAGAUUGCGGGCGUACAGCUUAUGAUGGAAAAUGCCAAAGUGAAGACCAUCCUCGAAUGAGAGCCUCCCAUGAAAGUGCUCAAGCUUUGCUCAUUCCUUGGAUUGGUGAAUUACUACCAUCGCUUCAUCAAGGGCUACUCAGUCAAGGCGGCACCCUUGACAGAUUUGCUUAAGAAAAACAGAGCGUGGCAUUGGUCCGAAGAGUGUCAACGUGCAUUCGAGGAGCUAAAGAAGGUGAUUUCGGAGGAACCAGUCCUCACACUUUUGGACCACACAAAACCCCUCGAAGUUCAAACAAAUGCCUCUAAUUUCACCAUAGGUAGAGUCCUCAUGCAAGAAGGCCACCCUAUAACAUUUGAGAGUCGAAAGCUAAAUGAUACAGAAUGCCGCUAUACGGUGCAAGAGAAGGAAAUGACCGCAAUCGUACAUUGCUUGCGAGUGUGGUGACAUUACUUGCUUGGUUCACACUUCACAAUCAUAACGGAUAACGUAGCGACGAGCUACUUUCAAACACAAAAGAAGUUGAGCCCGAAGCAAGCAAGGUGACAAGAUUUUCUUGCGGAAUUCGACUAUCGGCUCAAGUACAAACCGGACAAAGCCAAUGUCGUUACGGACGCUCUAAGCCGCAAGGCCGAAUUGGCGACACUUACCAUGAGCCAACCGAAGUCCGACCUUGUCUCACGCAUCAAGGAAGGCCUUCAACAAGAUCUGGUAUCAAAAGACUUGCUGAAGAAGGUGCUCGAAGGAAAGACAAUGCGAUUUUGGCAAUAGGAAGACAUCCUCCUAACCAAGGGAGAUCGACUGUUCGUGCCAAUGUGGGGAAAUUUGUGGAAAGAAGUCAUCAAGGAAUGCCACGACUCCAAGUAGACUGGUCACCCAGGAAUUGAGCGCACCACCGCACUAGUUCAAGCCUCGUAUUUUUAGCCGCACAUGAUGGAUGACAAUGACAUCGAGGCAUAUGUGCGCACUUGUCUUGUGUGCGAACAAGACAAGGUGGAUUAUCAACUUCCAGUGGGAUUAUUGGAGCCACUACCACUCGUAACAAGGCCAUGAGAAAGUGUCUCCAUGGACUUCAUCACAUUGCUGCCCAAAUCCGAAGAGUGCGGCAGCAUCAUAGUCGUUGUCGACCGUUACAGUAAGUACGCCACAUUCAUUACCGCACUAGCCGAUUGCAAAGUGGACGAGGUAGCCCGCCUAUUCGUCAAGCACAUUGUGAAGCUUUGGGGAGUUCCGAAGAGCAUUGUGAGCGACCAAGACCCUUGGUUCACUAGACGUUUUUGGACGGAGCUUUUUAAUAUGUUAGGGACCAAUCUUAAGUUCUCAAUAAGCUUCCACCCACAAACGGAUGGGCAGACCGAGCGCAUCAAUGGCCUCUUCGAGAUGUACUUGAGGCACUAUGUGAGAGCUCAUCAGCGAGAUUGGGUAAAGCUACUCAACAUCGCCCAAUUUUCUUAUAACUUGCAGUGAAGUGAGGCUACAGGCAAGAGUCCGUUCGAAAUCGUCAUGGGGUUCCAGCCCAUGACCCCUAACGCCAUAGCCUCAACUUACGGAGAAAAAAGCCCUACGGUACACAAGCUCGCCUGCGAAUGGCGCGAGGAAGCGGACAUCACGCGAGCCUACCUCGACAAAGCCGCGAGGAAGAUGAAAAAGUAGGCGGAUACAAGGAGACGGUAUGUCGAGUACAAGGAAGGCGAUCAAGUCAUGAUCAAGCUCUUACCCCAACAAUUCAAGACGUUGCAGAAAGUCCACAAGGGGUUAGUGAGAUGCUACCAGGGACCCUUCCGAGUUGUACGACGUGUGGGCAACGUCUCGUAUUAACUUUAACUUUCGCCAAGACUCAAGAUCCAUCCGGUCUUCCAUGUGAGCCUUCUCAAGCGAUAUCACGAAGACGUGGGAGACCCAAGUCACGAAGAAUCGAGGCGUGCGCCAACCGCCGUUGUCACCGCAUUCGACAAAGAUGUGGACUACAUCAUUGCGGACCGCGUGGUUCGGAGAAGAGGCGUACCACCAUACAAUGAGUACUUGGUAAAGUGGAAAAACCACCCUGAGAGCGAAGCCACUUGGGAAUGUGAAGAUGAUUUGUGGCAAUUCGUUGAGCACAUCUAAAGCUUCAAGCACGAAAGCGUGACGAGGACGCUAAGAGCUUAGGUGGGUGAGGAUGUUACGGACCGCCAAAGUCACUAGCCCAAUUGCCCACAAUUUCGGGCUAGGGAGCCCAAGACAAGGCCAAGAGUGCUAGCUUGGCCCCGAUUCUGGAAACUUCUUGGCAACUCUAGCACAUUUGAGCUUGUAAAUAAUCUAGAAUACUCCACGCAUUUCUAACUCAUGUAAAUAUCUAGAAUUCUAGGCAUGUGGUAGAAUUCUCUAGAGUCUCUAGAGCUUGGCAAGCCUCCCCUAUAAAUAAGGCAUGACAUUUAACAUUUGAGCAACAAGCUUAGAGUAAGCAACUCAAACACUUGUAAGCUCUCUUGUAAUCUUUCAUUCGAGUAAUACAAUUCUCUUCAUUCGGCUCCAUUGCUCUCUUCUCUCUAGCUUUUUGAAAACCGCUAGGCUUAGCUAGGCGAGAAGCUCAAGACUUACUUAGCAACAUUCGGCAAAGGUUGUCUAAGUGCCGCACGGGUUUGCUGUGCAAAACACUCAUCCCGUGAUAAUAUGCUCUGUAAAAUUUGAGAUUUUUCUAAUAAGGUAAUAAUUUAUUAAAAAUCCGAGAACAUGGACUGUUUUGUUUUGAAGACCGAAUACUGAAGGCAUUUGAGGUUGAGUUUAUGAGCUGUUUAAAAUGAGAUAUUUGAGGACAUUAGAGUUUAUGAUUGAGACUUGAUUAUAUCUUAUGAGAAUUUUGUUAUGAUUUUUAGGUCAAUGAUAUCAGUACGCAUUUGUUACAUGAGGGUGCCAAGAGGUAAGUAAACUAGAUUUCUAAAUGAAUCACAAUAAACAAUAUGUAUAUGUUUGACAUGUUUGAAAAGUCUAUUUUGAUAUAUAUACGGAUAUGGAUUUAUAUGUUCUGCCCAUGUGUUUAUAUGAUGUGUUGAUAUAAUGUGUUGUUAUGUGUUGUGCGUUUAUGGACAUGGACAUAUGUAUGUGUAAAAUUUCAUUGGCAUAAACAUGAAAAUGCAUUAAGGUUUCUACGAAUGAGAAAGUGGAAUUUAACAAAUGAAAUGUUUGCUUUAUGAGAUUUUGUAUUGGGGGCUGUUGUAGGUGUUCUAUUGUUAUUGGUGUCAAUGUGCAAGUAUACACAAUAAGUAAUAUAAUGAUAAGUAUUCAAGAUCGUCUCCCCAGGAAUUGUUGUUAUAAGAAUUGCUACAAUAAUUUUAUCAGUGUAAUUUUUAUUCUAAAUUAGAAUUAAAAUAAAUUAUUAAACUAAUGAACUAAUUAAGAUAAAAAAAAUGUAAUAAAGUAAAUUAUCGCAACAAAUAUAAGGAUGUAACCAAGAGGAAUAGAAUAGUUGAGUGAUUAAACUCACUUAAUGGUUUCGACUUUUUUUUUAAUAUUUGGCUCGGUUACUACAGCACUGGGUAGAAUCCUUAUGUAUCCUCAGUUGUCGCCUGUUGGAUGUCUUAUACCUAAAUAUAACUUAACAAUGACUAAUUGUUAUGCUAAUAUCAUAUAUAGCAUUACACGUUUUGAAAUAUAAGUGUACAACCCAAAAGGGGGGUGAAUUGGAAAUUUAAAAAUUAUCCUAACAAAUCCACACAACAAGCAAUUUAAUGUCUUAAUAAAAAUUGAAAGCAAUAAGUUCAAUAAAAGCACAAUAACAAAUUAGUAAGGGAGAAGAGAAACAAACACACAAAUUUUUACGUGGUUCGGCAAUCUCCGCCUACGUCCACGCCUCCAAGCGAUCCAAGCUUGAAGAUUUCAUUAUCCGAGCCUUUCCAAUGCUUCAACUGUUUACAAUUGAUUUCAAGGUGUCAAUGAACCUUUACAACAAAGAGAUUAUCUCUCAAUCUCUUCACUCAAGUGUCUCACACACUCAAACUCUUACAAUUAAGAUGAAGAAAUGAAUGUUACAAUAAAACUCACUCAAAGUGUAGAUAUUCAAAAAUGAAGAACAAGAAAUGAUUCAAUGUUUUGUGAUUUGUUGAAAGCUCAAGAUAUUUUGUGUGCUUUUUGUUUAUGCUUGGUGCAGAGCUUGAAAAUGAGUUGGAUUUGAGUUUAUAUAGUUUAAGCUAAAAAACUAGCCGUUAUGCACAUUUUGGUCGUAACCGGUUUGCCGUUUAGGAAUCCGGUAAGCCGCUUUUAUGUUACCGUUAAGGCAAAAAUUUGAAUUUCAGAAUAUCCGGCUAGCCGCUUUUCAUAUAUGGUAAGCCGCUUUUGAAAUCUGGAUUGCGGCUUGCAAAAUUCGGUAAGCCGUUUAUGCUCCAGAAGCUUACUGCCCAAAAUCCGGCUUGUCGUUUACCAUAUCCGGUAAGCCUCUUGCUACAGUGACUGCUACAGUGAAAUAUUUUUUAAAUUUAUAGUUUGACCUCAAAACUUUAUAAAACUGUAGUAUGGUCCAAAAUGUUAUGAAAACUUUCAAAUAAGUCCAAUUUCAAAAUUUCUAAAUAAUGCUUUGUCAAUCCCAAAACUUUCUGAAAUUAUGAUUUCACCCAAAUUAUGUGAAAUUAUAGAAUGACCCAAAAUAUUUAAAUAGUUUCAAAUAGGUCCAAAUCCGUAAUUUUAAAACAAUAUCAAAGGUUUUAAAAUACUUUCAUGUUAGUCCAAAAUACUUUAAUUCCAUAACAUCAUUUUCUUAAAAAGCACAAUUCAUAAAUCUUUGUUUAAUCAAUAUCUAUAGCUAUAUAGGCUAACAUGCACUACUAGAAAAAUGGGCUACCAUGACAGAGAAUAUAUGUCAUCCGACCCCACUUAUGACAGAGUUUUCAUCUGUCAUUGUAGCCCCUCUCACAAAUCUGUGACAACGUUUUAUCUAUCAUGUUCCUAUGACAGUGUUUAUCCAUCACACAUAUGUCAUGAACCAAGUGAUGUUCGAUUUGCAAAGCUUUCAGGAAUUAAUUGAAAAUUUUAGCAGGUAAUUUAAAUUAUUUUGAAUUUGGCGGGUUUCUUCAAAACUGCAUAUAUUAAUGAUUCACAUUCUCUGUCAAGAGAUUUAAGGUUUAAAAAAAUAAAAUUAUUAUUUUCAAUUUUGAAAUUAUAUUAAUACUAAUUAGCAUUAUUUAAAUUACAGAAUUUUGAAAUAGAAAUAGAAAAAGUCACAUUUUAAAACUUGAAUGAACAAAAAUAAAAUUACAUUCAAAUUCAUAAAACUAUCUAAUAUCAAAUAGCACUAUACACUAAAAAUUCCAAUCACUUGAAACUUCCAAUAAAUAGCAUCAUCAAAAUACAUCGUCUAUCAUAUCUCAUAAAUCCUUUACAAUAGCCAAUCAUCAACCUAUCACUAGAAAAACAAUUAAUCCAUAAAAAAAAUUGAUAUUAAAUUCCGGAAAGCCACCAACAUCACCUGAAAAAUAGAUUAACCAAAAAAAUACAGAUUAACAUGUUGACCACAUACAAUUAAUCAAAUUCACAAUAAAGUUCACCAGUGUGUAAUUGAUUUAAUCAGCUUUGAUACCAAAGGGAAAAUGAGGAUAAAUAGCCCCAGAGGAAAAAAAAAUCACAUUUGACAAUUGACAUAAUGAAGCAGUAAACCUCAUGAGUUGUAAAAGAGAAAUAGGAAAGGGAAAAUAAGGGACAUCUUCAAUGCAUGUAGUUUAUAUUAACUUUUUUUUUGUUCCUAAAGAUAUAUUUAGUCUAGCCUUCUAUAGAUUUCAAUUCUGAAUUUCUUUAUGCACCAAACUGAGUAUAUUUCAAAGACUACAAAUUAAUUAAUGCAAAACAUCUAAAAACAUAACAACUUUCCAUACAUAAUUAAACAAAAUUCACCAAAAUCAAGCUAAUAAAAAGAAAGGUAAAAGUUCUAAAAAUCCAAAAGAGGAUAUCAGAAAAUUCUGGAAUCAUCAGAAUCUCCCCAUUCUAUCAACCUUAAUGCCAUGCUUGUAGGCUUGUAAACACUAACCCUAUCCAACUCAAAGAAAGAAAACGCGGGCUAGUAUUCUCAUCUGGAUUACAUCACAUUAGCAUUUGAGAUAUUUUUACUUUAAUGUUUCAAAGAGAAGAAUUUUUGUUAAAGCAAGAUUUUCAACAAAUAUGUUUAAAGGAAUGCUCAUUGUCCAAGGAUUUAAAAGGAUACCGAGUAUAAGUUUGUUUACAAUAUAUUUUUUAUUUUUCUUUUUUCUUGUUAAACUACGAUAAACUGAAAAAUACAAGUAUAUCUUGAUUUUAAAAAUCAACCAAGACAAGAAAAUAGAAUGAACAACUAUUCUUAUAGGAAACCAAUGGAAAACCUCUAAAUGUAGUCAUUGGUUUAUUAAGGAUAGUUGGAACCAUAAACAGUGGAUAAGUUUCUAAUGAAAAUAAUAAAAUCCAUCAUCUAUAUAAAUUGAGAAAAAAUAAAUUUCAUGUCAAAGAUCUAAAAAAUUUGAAGGAAACCUAAUAGUAAGCAAAUAUUCAAUUCAUAAUAGUAUGAAUAAUAAAAACAUUAUUGUCAACUUGAAACGUAAAGUUGCUUUGUGUUUUUGUCAGCCAGUCCUAUUGUUUUUAGCAAAACAACAAACCUUAGCAUUUUAAUUGGUAACAAAUCAGAACCAACAUAAAAAUAAAAUUAGAAAAGAUAUAGAGAUGUAUUCUACCAUUGUGCAAUGCUGGUAUCGUCACCGUCUAUUCAAUAAAGAUCAAUGGCCCCCUUAGACAGGACAUAACUCGAGUGAUAGGAAAAAGAAAAUUAAAUAGUUGUCAUGAGCUAUCUUAAACUUAUGCAAUUAAAUAUUUCAAAGAUGAUGCUAAAACAAACCAAUGUAAAAACAUUAUUACCUUGAACCAUUAUCACCAAAGCAGUGAAGUCAAACCACAGUGGCUUGCUGUCUACCUUUGCCUGACUACAUAGGUCCUUCCGAACUGAUCUAGUGUUUUUCUAACAGUUUUAACCCCUGAAAAAAAGUCAUCACAAUUCAAUAAUCAAGAUUAAUGAUGAAGAAUUUUACAUACGUAACAAAAACCCAUAAUUACUAACAAAAGAAUUUCAUAAUGAAAGUUUUUUUAAUAAACCUCAACAAAGCUUUGUCAAGAGAAAACAUAAAUUACAAAAAUGAUAGAGUAUAAAAUAAAUAGGGGAGAAUAGAACAGCUAAGCCCCUUUACAGCAAGUAUUGAAAUGAACUAAAUAACAAUGGCACAUGUUAACUAAAACGGUAAUAGAGGUUCUUUAAUUUUUUUCUUUUUUGAAGAAAGCCAUGAGUCUCUAGAGGGUCAGUAGUUCUUAGAGAAGAGCCCAAGUUUUCCAAAGUUACUGUACUAAAUACACAACAGGCUGAAUCAAAUUUUAUUGGAAGAAUUAUUGUACAAAACCAUUGCAAUUAACCCCAAAUUACAACCAACCAAGCCCUAGUAAUUUAAUUGAGAGUUAAUAUAUGAAAAAUGCAAAAUUCAACACUAUCACCUCGGCCGAUACCUAACCUGCAGGGAGGGAAAUAGAAGACCAUUUAUACCAAAAAGAUCGCUUCGCUUUGAACAGUGACAAUGAGGUUGGGGAAUCAAAUUCAAGGUCACGUGGCUGUAGCCCUCCUGACUUGCUGCAAAAUGUGCAAUUUGAGUUUCGACUCUAGUCCCGACCCCAUUGCAAUGUCCGCUAACUCAACCUUUCCUCUGAAAUGUUUAUUUUUAGGGUAUUAUUACUCAAUAUAUGAAAAAUCCAAUUGAGGAACAAAAGAAUAGAGAAGAACGAAAUUUAUUUACCUUCAUCAACCGUAGCGAUAGUAAGGGUUUCUUAAAAAAUGAUCGGUGAGUUUGAAGGAUUACUCAAUAGCAAAGGAUUUAGGGUUUGGAGGAGAACAACAACUUCUACAUGGCAAAUAACAACAAUUUCGAAGGAUUAAGGGUGUAUUUUCGUCUUCUUUAUUAGUGAGGGAAGAGCCUCAAAUUUUGACUUAGGGUUUUAAUUUUGGAUUUCUCACUUGCAGCGAGGAAUCUGAUCUCUUAAAGUUGUACAACACUUGGAAAUUAUUUUAGUUAAGUGUCUAGCUCAUAAACGACGUAGUUUCCUCUUUGUAAAUUCUAUUUUGAUUUUAGUUUAAUUAAAAGCUUUCAAUUGUUGCAAUAAAUUAAUGAAUUGACGUCAUUCUUUUUUGUUGAAACGACGUCACUUUUGUGAACUACUUAAUAAUAAAUUAAAAAUAAAUCGAAAAUGAAUAAAAUAUAUUAUUUUUUUAUUAUAGCUUGUGAUAGAAAUUUAGUUUGUCACAUAAGUAUCAUGUAGUUGUGAUACAUAAAAACUUUGUCAAAUGUCUAUCAUACAUUCUUGAUAAAUAACUAAUUUUCUAUUAUCUAUCACAAAAAAUCUGUCAUAGUAAGUCAUUUUUCUAGUAGUGACGUUUUAGAUUCUAAUUACCCUACAAGGUGAAUCCCUAUAUCUAGUUUAUUACUAAUUUUAUAUUAAAUAUGACUCUUUUCAAAUCAAGUUAAACACAACUCAGGAAAUCCAAUCUAAAACCAAGUACUGUUCUGAUAUGUUCCACUAAGACAUGCAUUUUUUAGGCUCUUUCUUACCUAAUUUCACUAAAUAAAUGGUCAGUCGAAAUAGUGAAUCGAAAUAAGUAUUAUCCAAACGACAUGCUAUAGUUUGUCAAUUAACCAUCAAGUUGUUCAUCACUCAAUCGCGAGUAAAUUUAGUUCAUAAUCUGCCAUAAAACAAGAAUCAAAAUAGUUUUAGCUAUUAAACAAUCCAUCAUAAUGAGAUAAAAACAAGAGAACAAGAAAUAAGAGUUAAUAUCCGCUUGAUGUUCUGCUAGAAUCUUUUGUUGCCAUCCUCAAUUCUCUCUCUUGAUCUUUGUUUUCUCUUGUUUUGUUUCUCUAUUCUUUUUCUCUAAUGACGGCCUCUUUUUUUUUUUUGCCUGUAUGCUCUUUUUAUAACUUAGAAUUGGGACAACCAAAAGCCUAAGUCGUACAUCUUCUAAUUUAGGAAACUCCAAAUCACAAUCUUUUAAGUAUCUCGUGUGAAAUCUUCUCUGUCGUUGCUCCAAGAUUAUUACAACAACAGUGCUACAACAUUGGCUUCAACAUCUGCACUGUUUCAAACUUGUUCCAAUUCUUCUAUAAUCAUGUUCUUUCCUUAUCCUUACAAGCCUACUGCAGCAACAUUCCUUAAAUCUUGAGCUUUCGGUCACCUUCAAUUAUGCAUAUGAACUAAGCACACAAAUUAUUCAAAAUCAAACGAAAUUUAUUGAGAGUAAAUUAAAAUGGAUGCUCAUGAAAUAUAUAACUAUAAAGUUGCUAAUAACGAUAAGCAAACUAGAAGCAAGUUGCUCAAUUCGGUAAGCAAACUCACGCAUAAAGUUGCUAAUAACGAUAAAAUACAUAAUCAUUAUGAAUUACCAUAAAUUAGAAACAAGUAAUCAUUUCAUAAUCUAAUAUAUAUUAAUGGUAAAACUCAUAAUCUGGUCACUUAUAACGUAAUAAUCAUUUUUAAUAAAUAGUUGUUUAAGAAAUCAUUUAUCAAUAACGCCUUUCUUUCGCUCAAUUUGCUCAUGCCACAUAGUGUCACCUAUAAUCUUGGUGACUCGGCCAGUAGUUUAGUAUGUCACUUGCAAUUUGGGUGACCUAUCUAGUAGUUCAAUCAGGGCACUUUAUCCUGCAAUAAUCAUUGAUAGGUGCGCACAAUACAGCUAGUUGUUCAGUUAUAUUAAUAUCAAUAGUUAUGGACAAUGAGCCAAAACCAUAAAUACAAUUUUAAAUCUUUCAAUAUCAAUCAUUCGAUACUCUAUCAAUAAAACACUCUUGUCAGACAAUUAAAUUGGGAAAGCUUUAAAAAUAUUUUUUAAGGAAAACAAUUUAUGGAAAGACAAGUAUUUUAAAGUGAUUUUGAAAACAAAUUUUAAGAAAACAUUUUAAACAAGUUUUUAACCAAAAUAGAACUUAUUAUCAUAAACUAUAAUGGUAAAAUUACUUCAAAAGCAUAAAAUGCCAAUCUAUAUCAAAUCGUUUCACAUAUCUUUACAUAUAUACAUGUAAUAAACAUUAUGCAUGAAUUCACCUACUUUGAUCCAAAUCAAUCAACAAUAACCCCAAUCAUUCGAGCACACUCUUGGCCUACAAUUAUUAAGACAUAUUUUUAUCAAUAUCUUAUUCAAUUUUGACCUUGAAAAGAAACCUAGAAAUCUUAAACUAUUAGCUCUUACUUAAGUACAUCAAUUCACUAAAUUACACUCAACCAUCUUACAGGAUUUGAUUUCUAACAAGCUAUAAAUAUGUCAAAAAAAAUAAAAAAAUAUCACAAAAAACUAACGUGAACAUGAUAGCAUUCAAUAUAAAAAUUUAAAAAAUUAAUUAAUUAGAGUUCUCUGAACAUCUCCAAAAAUUGAUUUUCCAUAAAAAUAUCAAAAUUGUCCAGUAACGAUAUAAAUAGAGGACUGCUAAUUUAAAAAUUCAUAAAUUUAGUUAUAUAUGCUCAAAAAUAGUGAUUCAAGCUUUGUCAAAUAGAAGAGACAAUAAGGAAUCAGAAUUAAAAUUUAUAAGGCAUUUUACUAAUGAAAAAGUAACCCAAGUUGACUUCCAUUUCAACCCUCGCAAUUCUAGAAAAUAGUUUCUAGGACGACUGUGCUGAAUCUAUGAUUUUUAAUGAUUUUUAUAUAAAAUUAAAAAUUAAUAAUUUUAAUAUACAGAAACUAGACACUAUGUGUACAAUAAUGAAAAUUCUCAGAAUUUUCAGAAGUCGUUUGGGCUAUGAAAUAAAUUAUAGAAAUGAGAAUUACUGCUGAAAAUCAAAAUUUUCUUGCACUAGUGUUCCAAAUUCGAAAAAUCAUUACAAUUAAUAUACAAUGAGUUUUUGAACGAUAAACAUAUGAAUAGAAAGCUAAAGAUGUCUAGUUUAAAAAUCUACAAAGUUUCUAUGUAUGAGACUUAAGGAAAAUAGCAGUUGUAUGACAUUCACUCUAUAUUGUUCAUAGUUUUUUGAUAACACAAUAACAUCAUUUCCAAUCAAUUACAAAAUAAACCAAUACAUGAUCAUGCUUUCACAAAUUUUAUCAAUAUAAAACACAUAAAGUCAUUUAAUCAAUCACAUAAAAUCACAAAUAAAACUAGAAUUUUAAAGGAUUAUAAAUUCGUACCCACUUUAAAAAAAAUUAAAACUCAAGAACUUCUUUAAUGGAAAACGGAAACACAAUCAAAAUCUUCCCCUCUUCUUAUUCAAAAAAGUGAUUUUACUCUUAUGUUUGCUAUUUUAGUCCUUUCUUUAUUAGCCUCUAGGGUUUUGAGAAACGAAAUAACAUAAGAGCAGUCUUUUAUAAGUCUUUUAAUACCCUUACCCAUUAAGGAAUUUAUUUCCUUUUUUAAUAUGGUAUUUAAUAAACAUAAAACAACAAAAACAAUUAAGUAAUUUUAAAAUUUAAAACACUCAUCAUUGACCUAAAAUACUAUAUUCUAUAAAAUAUAUAUAUAACGAUAAUAAUAAAAACAAAAACAACGUGUGUUAUAGUUUCUCCCCUUCUAAAGAGAAAUUUCGUCCUCAAAAUUUAGAACGUCGCCUUAUUCCUCAAAAACUGAGGGUACUUCUCCUUAUUCUCUGCCUCUCAUUCCCAAGAUAGAAUAAUUUGCUAGCGCACUUUCACUAAAGGUACAACUCUUCUCCUUAAAACUUGUUCCUUUGUAUCUAAGAUGUCUAUUGGUUGCUCCUUGUAUGAUAUAUCAUUUGAGAUAUUGAUAGGUUGGUAAUUUAAGGUAUGAGAAGAAUCAGCCAUGUACUUCCUCAAUACCGACACAUGAAAUACAUUGUGAAGCCUUGAAAGGCUCAGUGGUGAAGCCACUCGAUACGCCGCCAUGCCAAUUCUCUCUAGAAUCUUAAAAGACCUAAUAAACCUAGGCCUAAGUUUACCUUUCUUCCUGAAACAGAAAAGUCCUUUUUAAGGUGAGACUUUCAAGAAUACAUAAUCCCCAACUUACUCUAGAUUACGUCUAUUUCAAUCAGCAUAAUUCUUCUACCUACUUUGAACUGUGGGGAGACGCUCUCUUAUCAACUUAAUUUUGUCAACAGUAAUCUGAACUAAUUUUGGCCCUAAUAGUUUCCUCUUGUCAACUUCAUCCUAACAAAUAAGCUACUUGCACUUCCCCCCAUAUAAAGUUUCAAAAGGCGCCAUGCCUAUGUUAGAGUGAAAGCUGUUAUUAUAGGCAAACUCCACUAAUGGAAAAUAUUCUUUCCAAUUACCUUCUAAAUUCAAUUCACAAGCUCGUAACAUGUCCUCAAGAGUUUGGAUAGUCCUUUCUGAUUGUCCAUUGGUCUGAAAAUGAAAGGCAGUGCUGAACCUCAACUUCAUCCUAAAUUCUUUUUGUGAACCACACGAAAAUUUAGAGGUGAAUCGUGGAUCUCUAUUUGAGACAAUGGACUUGACAUCUAUGCAAUCUCACUAUCUCAUCUAUAAAAUAUUGCUUCAGCUUCCAAAACUUGUCAGUACUCUUUAUUGAUAAGAAAUGUGCUGACUUGGUCAAUUCAUAUAUAACACGUGUCCCGUCCUAGCUCGGCCCAUCAAAGGAAGGCUCAUACGUGCUCGUGCUCGUGCUGUGCCAAAAGUUUUUUGCUUAGACCCAGCUUGGCACACGUGUCGAUACACCUUUUUUUUUAAAGAGUGCAUGCCAAGUUGUUUGCAUAUUUUUUCAAGCUUUAGUACUUUUUUUGGUCCAUGCACUUUUAUUCAAAUUUGAUAAAAUCAAAAAUUCAAAAUUCAAGUCUAUAUUUAAUAUUAAUAAACUAAUCAUAGUAAGAGAAUGUAGUAUUAAUUAUUAAGUUUAACCAUAUGGUAUUGGAAUUCGUUUUUAGUACUUAACAACAACAACAAUAAUAAAUUUUUCUCAAGAGUUAACUUAAUUGUUAAUUCGGACUUACAUAGAGUCAUAAAUUAUAGUUCAUAAUAAUAUUAAUACAUAUUUAUAAAUCAUAAUAUUUAUAAUUUAUUUAUUAAAAUCACGGUAUCAAUUAUUUAUUUAAUAAAUUAUAAACAUAAAUCAAUUAUAGUAUUUUUUUAAUUAAAAAUUAAACGAAUUUAGAAAAAUUGCACUAAUAAAAUAUAUUAAAACAUUCAAUUUCAAUUUAUUUGUAAAAUCAUAAAAUUUUAAGUUUAUUUUCAUUAAAAAAAUGAAACGUGCUUAUUGCUGCGGGUUUUUUCCCGUGUCGUGUUUUAGUCCAUAUCUAAUAGUGUCGUGCUUUUAAGACCCGCAUGCCUAAAAUUCUAAAUCCGAUCCAAUCUACGUGCAUGUCGUACCGUGCUGCAUUCUCCACCAAAACAUACUAAUACCGUACUAUAUGGACACAUACCGUACUAAUUCUAAACCACGUGAUGUCCGGCCCAUUGGCCAUCUCUAUUGGCCAUCAACCAGUUACGUUUAGGAUGCUGGGCACAUGCGAAAGAGAAUUUGGGAGUUAGGUUUUCAAAAUAUGGAGUCCAGCGAAAUUAGUACGUUAAAUGGCCAUUUACUGUCACGUGGUUAGUAACAGAUAUGACAGCGGUCCACUGUCACGUGGUUAGUAACAGAUGUGUCAUAAAUUGUCACAAAAGCCACACUGGCAGUUACGACAAAUUUAUGGUAUAUGUACAGCUGCUUUUAUUGUUACAUUAGGGGUCACGUAUACCCUAUUUUCUUGUAGUGAGUAUCCGUGCAACCUUGAUUGUGUGGCUGUUAAUAACAGUGAACCAAUAUCCAAGAUUGAUCCAUUUGGGUACACUCAAAGAAACCACUACUAUAAGUUUUCACACUACUCAUCACUAUUCUCUUCAAAGAGCACAACACCCACUCUAUUUGCAAAAAUAUUAAGAUUCUCCUAUUAAAUACAACAAAUUGCUAUUGUUCUCAUAAGAGAAGAUUAAUUGCAGUUUCUGCUACCCGGAAAAACAUGUCAGAAUCCAGAGAACAAAGGUGGUCUCUAAAGGGUAUGACCGCGCUUGUUACAGGUGGAACCAGAGGCAUCGGGUUUGUGCUUCCACUACUUUGGCUUUCCUAUCUAUUGAUAUUUUUAAUGAUAAUAUCUUAGACUUUGCGUUUAUAAUUGAUUUAUCAGACAUGCAAUUGUAGAAGAACUAACGGCAUUUGGAGCAAUAGUGCAUACAUGUUCACGUAAUGAAACAGAGCUCAAUGAAAGAAUUCAAGAAUGGAAGAGUAAGGGGCUUAAAGUAAGCGGCUCGGCAUGUGACCUGAAAAUUAGAGCUGAGCGUCAAAAGUUGAUGGAGGCUGUAUGUUCUGAAUUUGAUGGCAAGCUCAACAUCCUUGUAAGUUCUUCUGCCAAAGUACCAUUUAAGCUUCUCAUACCUGAGAAGCUCAAAAUCCAACCAGAAAAUAGUGUCCCUAGAUAAUAACUGAAGGCUAAAUGACAGACUAGGUUGGUGGGGAUAUAUCUGGUAGCAAUAUAUGUGAGCUAUGUAUUGAGGUAACAUGAGGUUCAAUUCAUUGCUGAAACAUAUUCAUAGACAAAAUUAUCUGUCAGCGAUCAUGAAUUGUCCAGAGUAAUUAGGAGUACAGUAAUUUAAAUUGAGUACUUAAGCAAAAAUGAUCAUAUAAUGGGAAUAUAAGGAUAUUAUUGCAAAAUAAAAUGGCAGAAAGAAAACAAAAAUUAGGAUAAAAACCAGUUAGUUAGAUAGUUUUGAUAGAGAAUCAAAUAAAGUUGACUUCUGUAGUUGGGCAGGGGACUAUCAGAUAGUUUUGGAGGUAAAAUCAUUCUUAAAAACGGCAAUGCAACAGAUUGCUUCGCUUUCUAAUUCUCUUGGCUUCUUUUCACAAUAACAAUGCAACUUUUUGGUCUCUUUUGCUACUCAAAACUCCAGAACAUUUCAAUGCAUCAUUUUAUCAGGUAAACAAUGCUGGAACCACCAUUCCUAAGGAAGCCACAGAAUUUACCAUGGAGGAUUUCUCAACUAUAAUGACCACCAAUUUCGAGUCUGCUUACCAUCUGUCCCAACUUGCAUACCCCCUACUCAAAGCCUCAGGAAAUGGAAACAUCAUUUUUAUCUCCUCUGUCACGGGUGUUAUAGCUGUACCUCUAAGUUCCAUCUAUGCAUCGACUAAAGGUCCAGUUCAAUAUUUUCUUUUAUUUUUUUUUCAUUUCUGUUGGAAAGCAACAGAACUAAAAUCUGGUUGCAAGACAAUCUUUUAAAAGCUCAGUAACUUUUUGACUCCAG